RNAcentral lists this ribosomal RNA (518 nucleotides) under uncultured bacterium. RNAcentral's name for it is "bacterial SSU rRNA". It matches the Rfam family "Bacterial small subunit ribosomal RNA", at positions 28 to 526 of the family's 1533-position model. The record is from RNAcentral.
GACGAACGCUGGCGGCGUGCCUAAUACAUGCAAGUCGAGCGAAGUUUUUCUGGUGCUUGCACUAGAAAAACUUAGCGGCGAACGGGUGAGUAACACGUAAAGAACCUGCCUCAUAGACUGGGACAACUAUUGGAAACGAUAGCUAAUACCGGAUAACAGCAUUAACUGCAUGGUUGAUGUUUAAAAGUUGGUUUUGCUAACACUAUGAGAUGGCUUUGCGGUGCAUUAGCUAGUUGGUGGGGUAAAGGCCUACCAAGGCGACGAUGCAUAGCCGACCUGAGAGGGUGAUCGGCCACACUGGGACUGAGACACGGCCCAGACUCCUACGGGAGGCAGCAGUAGGGAAUCUUCCGCAAUGGGCGAAAGCCUGACGGAGCAACGCCGCGUGAGUGAAGAAGGAUUUCGGUUCGUAAAGCUCUGUUGUUAGGGAAGAAUGAUUGUGUAGUAACUAUACACAGUAGAGACGGUACCUAACCAGAAAGCCACGGCUAACUACGUGCCAGCCGCCGCCGUAACAC